ACCAUGGGCCAAGUCGAGCGGGGAAAGGUAGCUUGCUACUUGACCUAGCGGCGGACGGGUGAGUAAUGCUUAGGAAUCUGCCUAUUAGUGGGGGACAACAUCUCGAAAGGGAUGCUAAUACCGCAUACGUCCUACGGGAGAAAGCAGGGGACCUUCGGGCCUUGCGCUAAUAGAUGAGCCUAAGUCGGAUUAGCUAGUUGGUGGGGUAAAGGCCUACCAAGGCGACGAUCUGUAGCGGGUCUGAGAGGAUGAUCCGCCACACUGGGACUGAGACACGGCCCAGACUCCUACGGGAGGCAGCAGUGGGGAAUAUUGGACAAUGGGGGGAACCCUGAUCCAGCCAUGCCGCGUGUGUGAAGAAGGCCUUUUGGUUGUAAAGCACUUUAAGCGAGGAGGAGGCUACCGAGAUUAAUACUCUUGGAUAGUGGACGUUACUCGCAGAAUAAGCACCGGCUAACUCUGUGCCAGCAGCCGCGGUAAUACAGAGGGUGCAAGCGUUAAUCGGAUUUACUGGGCGUAAAGCGCGCGUAGGUGGCCAAUUAAGUCAAAUGUGAAAUCCCCGAGCUUAACUUGGGAAUUGCAUUCGAUACUGGUUGGCUAGAGUAUGGGAGAGGAUGGUAGAAUUCCAGGUGUAGCGGUGAAAUGCGUAGAGAUCUGGAGGAAUACCGAUGGCGAAGGCAGCCAUCUGGCCUAAUACUGACACUGAGGUGCGAAAGCAUGGGGAGCAAACAGGAUUAGAUACCCUGGUAGUCCAUGCCGUAAACGAUGUCUACUAGCCGUUGGGGCCUUUGAGGCUUUAGUGGCGCAGCUAACGCGAUAAGUAGACCGCCUGGGGAGUACGGUCGCAAGACUAAAACUCAAAUGAAUUGACGGGGGCCCGCACAAGCGGUGGAGCAUGUGGUUUAAUUCGAUGCAACGCGAAGAACCUUACCUGGUCUUGACAUAGUAAGAACUUUCCAGAGAUGGAUUGGUGCCUUCGGGAACUUACAUACAGGUGCU
Molecule: ribosomal RNA, 999 nt
Filed under: Acinetobacter lwoffii
Lineage: Bacteria; Pseudomonadati; Pseudomonadota; Gammaproteobacteria; Moraxellales; Moraxellaceae
Description: bacterial SSU rRNA
Rfam family: Bacterial small subunit ribosomal RNA
Source: RNAcentral